AACGCACAUUGCGCCCUCUGGUAUUCCGGGGGGCAUGCCUGUCCGAGCGUCAUUGCAACCCUCAAGCCCGGCUUGUGUGAUGGGCCUUCUUGUCCCUAUCUUUCAGGGACAGGCCCCAAAGGCAGUGGCGGCGUCACGACGCAGGUGCCUGAGUGAAUGGGAUCAAACUAUUCCGCUCGAGAGGCCCGGUCGGCGCCGGUCAGCUAAUAUCUUAAUCGGUUGACCUCGGAUCAGGUAGGAGUACCCGCUGAACUUAA
RNAcentral lists this unclassified non-coding RNA (257 nucleotides) under uncultured Onygenales. RNAcentral's name for it is "sequence contains ITS2". Lineage: Eukaryota; Fungi; Ascomycota; Eurotiomycetes; Onygenales. The record is from RNAcentral.